UUUUUUUUUUAAUGGCCACGCUUGCGCAUAUGGCAAUUCCUGGGCCAGAGAUUGAAUCUGAGCUAAGUUGCAGCUGCAACUCAUGGUGCAGGUGCAGCAAUGCUGGACCCUUUAACACACUGCAUCAGGGCAGGGAUCAAACCAGCACCUCUGCAGCAACCCAAUCCACUGCCAUUGGAUUCUGAACCCACUGCCUCCACAGCAGAAAAUCCCAUUAUUAAGAAUUAAAUUAUGUGCACUUACAAUUAAAUAAAUAAUAUUUAAAAUAAAGGCAAGAAAUGCUCACACUUUAUAACUUCCUAAUUAUUUUACUACAUUUUACUAUUCCCUAUGUUCUGGGGACUAUUUAUGACUUUUUAUGCCUAUAUGACCGAAAUAUUCUCUAAUUGUGUGAUACAGCACAUCAUUUUCCAAUGCCACAUUUAGUGCCAUCAUGUUGGUAGUUUGAAAUUGGCCAUUUUGUAAAUGUUUCUACCACAUAAAUAGGUGAGUGCUGCAAAAGACAAUUUCAUUAAUUGUUUUAUUGAUUGACUACAUAGAAUGCAAUAGUAAAAAUCUUAAUAGUGAAGAUUCAAAUAUAAAAGUGUGUCAUUCUAUAGCCAUUACAUUGUGAAUAGCACCAAAAUUGAGGAAAUAUGAUUCCAGUAUUAGAAAGCUAUUAUCCCAUUCAGCCAAUAAGGCAGUCACAUAAUUAGCAAAGGGGACAAGUUUAAGGUGCAUCUUUGUGGUUUCAUUUUCAUAUUACUCAUUAAAGUAAAUAAAAAUAUCAAUCAACAUUCAUACCAGGACGAUAUUAAUUUGUCAAUUGCAACAAGGUUGGCUAGGGAGACAAGAGUUUGACAGAAAUCAAUACAAACUUUCUGGAAGAGUAAUUUGGCUAUAUGUAAUUUGAAAUAAAGAGUAUUGUUUAUCAUGAUUGUAAAUUGAGUUCUAUACAUCCUUCAUAUUAGUAAAAUUUAUAAUAAAUGUAUUUGUGUGUAUUGCUAUAGACUGAAUGUUUGUAUCCCCCAAACCCACAAAUUUAUACGGAUGGAGAUCUCAUGAAUGGGAUUAAUAUUCUUUUAAAACAGACCCCAAAGAGCUCCCUUGCCCCUUUCAUCAUAUGAGAACACAGAGAAAAGAGAGUCUGUGAACCAGAAAGACAACCUCGUAAGACUCUGAAUCUGCUGGUACCUUGCUUGGAUUUCCCAGCCUCUGGAGCUGUGAGAAAUGAAUCUCUGUUGUUUAUAAACCACCAAGUAUUCUGUUAUAGCACCCCAAAUGGACCAAGGUACUUUCUUUGGGAGCCAGUGGUUCAGCUGGUUAGAAGAAGUACAGAGCUCAAUGUCACUCACCAACUUUGCACCAGUGCUCCAAUACCAUCUCACAUCUAAAGCCAUGUGGGGGACUCCUUUUGACCAUCAGACAGAAGAGGAAAAACUCAGAGCUUGCUUCAUUCUGAGUCUGCUUGGUAGAUAGGUAUAAGCAUUUGCUCAGCCUGAAGUUACCAUCCUCCACCUAGGUAGGAGCCUUAGUUCCUGCAGAAGAACUCAGAGCUACUGUAAUGUAUAUUUCUUGAGGAUCCAGGAUCCUGCUUUAAUGGCUGCACUCUUGACUGUUCUUCCUUUGUUUCUCCAUUCCCUCCCUUCCCUGAUAAGUAAUUGUUUGAAUCUGCCCUUUGGGAGUCAAGGAAAGUCAUGGAGGCUGUAUGAAGCUUAUUUCCUACAAACAAGAAACAGAGGACACAGAAAGGCUUUUGUGCCCAGGAAGGUCCCAUAGGGUCCUGUUCUCAGGAAGAGAGGCCAACAGGAACCAUGGAGUCUGAAAGUGGAUGAGAAAUGAAUUUUUACUGUGCAAGCAGCAGCAAAUGGAAGGCUUGUAGGCAUAUUGCUCAGAUAUUCCUUCAAGCAAACUGCCCCAGGAGUGCACUAGCUACAGAGCCUUAGGGGUUCUUGCAGCAUUGGGAUGGAGGACGCAUUCCCCCUGUGAAGCUUCUGCCAAUGGCCGAGCACAGUGAGAGUCCUAGGUUCUUGCCCUUUCUACCUAGUGCAGGAGGGUUCUAAGAGUAACCUUUGUUCUGAAGCUCUCUAUUGAAUUGACCAGGACUGCCUCUUCUGCACCUCUCCUUUUUCCCCCUUUCUCCUUUCAUAAGUGUCAGAUCUUCCCAGGUAUGAAGACUUUCUCUGUCUAUUCCUACACCUUUUCCCAUUUAUCUCUAUCUUUUACCUCCAAUAAAUCUCUUGUCCUUCUAAUUCCAUCUUGGCAUUUGCUUCCCUGACAAGCAAAAGUGACUCAUAUGGUCACUUGAUUUAUGAUAGAUGCAAGUGCAGUAUAGUAGGAAAAUGGUCACUUGUUUAAUAAAUGGCAUUAGGCAAAUGAAUUAUGGGAAAAACAUGAAUCUGACUCCUACUCUACUCCAAACACAGAAAUAAAUUCUAGAUAGACUUUAUACAUAAGUGUUGAGGGUAAUAAAUGUUUUUUUUUUCCUAACAGGACCCUGGAAUACCAAACAAAAGUAAAAAGUUUCAUACUUGGAUUUCAUUAAAAAUAAGAACAUCUAAUCAUGAAAAGAGACCACUCAGAGAGUGAAAAGGCCCUAAAUGAAAGAAGAUACUGGCAAUUUAUAUAUCCUCCAGAGAUUUCAUAUUCAGAAUCUAUAACAAAUUCCUUUAAACCAAUAACAAGAAAAUGAUCCAAAUUUUAGGGGAGGGGUGUAUUAGUUUCCUAUGUCUAUCUUAACAAAUUACCACAAACUUAGUGACUUAAAACCACAGAAAUGUAUUUCCUCACUUUCUAGAGGCCAAAGCAUGAAGUCGUGAUCGUUGGGCUGAAAUCAGUGUGGCCAGCAUGGCCCUCCUUCCAGAGGCUAUAGAGAGGAAGCCAUUCCCUGCCUCCUCUAGCUUCUGGUGACAGCCAGCAUCCCUUGGCUUGUGGCCCCAUCACUCCAGUCUCAGCCCCUGGGACCACACUGCUUUCUCCCCUCCUGUCUGUAUCAAAUCUCCCACUGCUUCUCUUACAUGUGAUUGUAUUUACACCUCACCCAGAUAAUCCAGAAUUAUUUUCCUAUCACAAGAUUCCAAUUCACAUCUGCAAUACCCCCUUUCCAAGUAAGAUAACAUUUAUGGGUUCAGGAACAUCUUUGGGAGACAUAAUCCUCCCUUCUUCAGGAUGCAAAGGGUUAGAGCAAUGUGUGACAACAAGGAUAGCCAAAUGUCUACUGUCAAACACUCUCCCAUCACUUCCAAUUCCAAGAGUCUAUCAUUCUAUGAAAAUCAGUAAUUUUUUUUUCUUUUUAUGGCUGCACCUGCAGCAUAUGGAAGUUCCCAGGCUAAGGGUCUCAUCAGAGCUGCAGCUCCAGUAUUGCCACAGCUACAGCAAUACUUGAUCCAAGACACAUCUGUGACUUUCGCCUCAGAUUGAGGCAAUGCUGGAUCCUUAACUUACUGAGCAAGGCCAGGGAUCAAACCCCCAUCCUCAAGGUCACUAUGUUGGGUUCCUAACCAGCUGAGCCACAAAGGGAACUCCUAAAAAUCAGCAUUCUUAACGUUAGAUAUUAUAAAAACAAUUUGACAGUCUUUCUUGUGCUUUACAGUUAUUAUUGUUUGGGGGAUAGGUUUGGAAGCUUUAAUAAGACAUUAUUAAAAUAGAAGGAGGAAAAGAAAUUUAAAAAGAUAGAAAGAAAAUCUUAGACACUAAGAAUGAGAAAGAUAACAUGGAAUCAAGGGGGUUAAAAAAAGCAGAUAUAAGUAAUAUUUUAAAAAUUGUACUUUGAGCUAAAGGCGAAAAAUUUCAAAAAAUGGAGACUACGAAUAAAUUCAUUUCUCUAUGGACACUCUCAAAACCAUCUCCUCAGUGUGACUGAAUUCCAAGCAGAUGAGCCAGCAGAUUUAAUCUCCCUGUGUUGUGCAACGAGGGAGUAAACAUUCUACAGAUCCCAUUAGUCCCCUUACAAGGAAUGCUUAGUUUAAUAUGACCACAAAAACAAACUUAGGGAGGAAACUUGAACUGUUAAAUCCUAUGUAAGAGAUGGUAUAGGUGUCCUUUCUUAUGCAUGGAAAACUUGCAUCUGUGUUUUCUAACUGCUGCCCCCUGUUUACAGCGGGCUGUGAGGACUAAGGAGACAGAGAUCAGCAUUCUCCCUUGGAGCCUAGUAACCUGGAAGAGCAAAUUCCCAGGAGUUCACCCAAGUAGACUCAGGUAUUCUGUCCAAGCUAGCAUAGCCCUGAAAGUGCCUCACUUCCUCCCACAGAAUAGUUCAAGUAUUAGAUCCUUAAAGAGUAUUAGAUCCAAUAAUGGAGAAAAUACUCCUGAUAAAAUGAUUAUUAAAUAAAAUCUUAAUCAUUUACUUUGCUUUAAUCUCUCCUAUUAUGUGAUGAAUAGGAACUGAAAAUGAUUUAGCCUGUAAAUCCAUUUAAUCUAAUUUCUUUAAAUGUAAAGAAAAGAUUUUAUUUCCGGAGUUCCCAUUGUGGCACAGCGGAAACAAAUCCAACUAGUAUACAUGAGGAUGUGGGUUUGAUCCCUGGCUUGGCUCAAGGAUCCAGUGUUGCUGUGAGCUGUGGUGUAGAUGGCAAAUGUAGCUUGGAUCCCACAUUUCUGUGGCUGUGGCAUAAGCUGGCAGCUGUAGCUCCAAUUCAACCCCUUGCCUGGGAACUUCCAUAUGCUGCAGGUGCAGCACUAAAAAGCGAAAAAAAAAAAAAAAAAAAGGAGAAGGAGAAGAAGAAAGAAGAUUUUAUUUCCAUAUUACGUAGGCAUCUUGAUGCAAAGCUUCCAGCUGAGCAUCAGGCCAAUCACCAAAGCAGGGGCCCCACCCCCAAGAGGCUUCAUUAUAUUUGAGAUAAAAUAUGUCACACAAACAGAAAAAGGUCUGUGUACCAGAGCAAAAAUAAACUGAUUUUGGAGUUGGGGCACCCAGGCUCUGGUCCCAGAACUAGCACUGAGGAACUGCUGCCUCCUCAACCCCUGUUCAUUUCUAAAUGUGUAAGACAGACAAUGUCAUCAAACAGUUUCCAAGGUCUCUAAGAUCUAAGAUUAAAUGGUUCUGUUCUAUGGAGGUAGAUCAAAUGCUGUAGAUUUACCAAGAGAGACAUAAUAGCAAUUCUAGUAGAUGAUUUUUAUUGAGUUUAUACCAUGUGCCAGGCUUUGAGCUAACUACCCCCCCCCAACAAGCUUGGAACCAUUUAAGCCUUAAACAACUUUAGGGCAUUAUUAUUAUAUUUCUCUUAGAAAUGGGAAAAAAAAUUAAAAACAAAAAAGGCCCAGGACCACACAGCUGAAGUGGUGGGUCACACAGUUGGAUGAAAUGGCCAUUGAUGUGGGAUUUGAAAAGAAAAGGACAAUUUCUGGUAAGUUUGGGGGAAUAUACACCCUCUAGGUCUGUGGCAAAGCAGUUCAUUUAGCUCUGUCAACACCUUGUUUCAAGCUGUCAUCUCAACAGACCAUUAGAGAUAAUGUUUUAUUAUUCCAAUAAUGUCAGAUCACACCCAACAUUUUAUUUUUAUAUUAUACUUAUUCUUGGGAUAAACAUUUUGUUAGAAUCAAGUCAAAAAUUCAAAUCAUAGUCUUUACCCAUACUUUAAGCUCCCAAAUUAUACUAAUACCAAUGUAAAUCUUGACUUCAUCUUAAUUUUAGGAUAAUUUCAACAUAUAAAACAUACUUCUUUAAUCUCUUAACAUAUUCAUUCCAAGAAGAAAUUAAUAAUGUUUUCAUCACCAUUGCUUCUCUAUUCUAAGUUAGAACGGAGUUCAGAAACACAAGUAUUACUUGAAUUUCUUGCUGGACCAGUCAAUCUGUACAUUUUCCGAUACAUGUUAUUUUGGUUCAAUGAGUUUCAUUGCAAUUCUUUUUCUCCUGUGUCUAGUUCAUACUGUGAUUAAUGACCAAACUUGUAUUGGUCUCCCCGCAAUUGCCUUGAGAAUGUGCAAUACUGGAUUUAUUCACUUACUAUAAAUGCAACACAGAGAUGCAAUUUUCAAUGUAAAUAUUUCCCUUAACAUAUGCAGAUAUUUAUCAUUGACUUUUAAAAAUAAAUUUCUUGGAUUUUACACACAGAAAUGUUCUAUGUAGUAACAACUUACUUUUAUUUAUUUUUAUUUAUUUAUUUAUUUAUUUAUUUGUCUUUUUGCCAUUUCUUGGGCCGCUCUCGCGGCAUAUGGAGGUUCCCAGGCUAGGGGUCUAAUCGGAGCUGUAGCCACCAGCCUAUGCCAGAGCCACAGCAACGCAGGACCCGAGCCGUGUCUGCAACCUACACCACAGCUCACAGCAACGCCGGAUCGUUAACCCACUGAGCAAGGGCAGGGACCGAACCCGCAAACUCAUGGUUCCUAGUCGGAUUCGUUAACCACUGCGCCACGAUGGGAACUCCAACUUUUAAAAAUAAAAUAUCGUCAGUGAAAAUAAUCAGAUUAAUAUUGUAAAAUAAACUCUUUUUUUACCUAAAGACAGAACAAUGAUAGGAGCCAGUCUCCACACUACAUAUGUCCUGUGAACUCUACCUUAGAAAGAUAACUUCCAACACUGAGAAUUAUUUUCUUAGGAGGGAAAAAUAUUAAUUAGAGUUUCAAUAAUAAAGUAAUUAAUAAAGUGAAUAUAGUAAAUAAAUCAAUAGCAUGUUAUUCC
Molecule: long non-coding RNA, 6595 nt
Filed under: Sus scrofa (pig)
Lineage: Eukaryota; Metazoa; Chordata; Mammalia; Artiodactyla; Suidae
Description: lncRNA (ENSSSCG00030030969.1)
Source: RNAcentral